GUGACGCUAACCCGUUUAAGUGGAAGUAAUGAACUUGUUUCCGUCCGUGUGUUUGGCUCGGAGGCCGGUUAGACUCUGUGUGAUGAGUAAUGAACAGUGCUUUCUGAGGAAAUAUCCACCCAGACGCUCUCGGCGCUUUGAUUCACGUCAGCCGCGUUCACACUGCAGCUCACACAGUUUGGUUUUUACAGGUGUUAGUGAUAACUGAAUUUACAUUAAACCUGUCGAGUGUGAACAGAGCAUUGCAUACAUUUUAAGCAUUGCAUAUUUGCAUAAAGUUAAAAACUAUUUUUUAACUUUGUUGCAGUACAUCACAUCACACUGUUGUCACUGUGGCCCAGAAAGUGCCAACUCUCAUGAAACUGUGUGUCUCUCUUCUUCUGAAGUGAGAUGGAGUGUCUGCUGUUCUUGGAAGUUAACAUGACGUCAUUUCCCUGCGGCUUCAUCUGAAAUUCACUGCCAGAGCUCAUGAACAUCCGGAGUGGCCCUUUUCCAGAGGAAUGUAAAUGCUUACAGAUGCUUUAUCCAGUUGCAGAUCAUAAGAUGAGGCUUGGAAGGUGGAAGCCGGUUUUCUUCAGAGCUGACAGGAGGCUCAUGCAGCUUCUUCUGAUUUCGGACGCAGUGUGAGUCUAACAUGAGGAAAUGAUUAUGUAGCAGAACUGGACUGAAAGCUCUGUGAACAAGUGCUGUAAUCCCCUGCUAAGAAGAAGGACAAGAAAGAAAAGAGAGGAAGUGAAAAUCAAUGGAAGCUAGAGAGUUUCCGCUGCUAAUGAACAAGAGCU
This is a long non-coding RNA of Cyprinus carpio carpio, 782 nucleotides long. The record is from Ensembl. Lineage: Eukaryota; Metazoa; Chordata; Actinopteri; Cypriniformes; Cyprinidae.